AUCAAAAACAUUUCUCUAAGAACAUUAUUUAAAGUAAGACCUGCUCAAUGACAACUCAAAUAAAUAGCCGCAGCUUAUCUGUGCUAAGGUAGCAUAAUAAUUUGCUUUUUAAUUAAAAGAUAGAAUGAAGGGUUACACACUAAAAGCAUGUUUCUCUCAGACCUAAUUAACUUAAAAUUAAAGUCAAAAUACUUUUAAAUACAGCGGGACGACAAGACCCUGAUAAACUUAACAUUUAGUUGGGGAAACACGUUAAAAAGACUUUAACACUCAAAACUACUCAACUUUAAAAUAAAAUCAAGAUUAGUUACUACAGGGAUAACAGCGCUAUUUCUUUUAAGAGACCCUAUCUAAAAAGAAGUUUACGACCUCGAUGUUGAAUUAAUCACCCUAUAAAGUGCAACAGCUUAUAUAAGGCAGUCUGUUCGACUAUCAAAAGAUUACAUGAUUUGAGUUCAGAUCGGUGAAAGCCAGAUCGGUUUCUAUCUGCUUCUAUAAAACUAAUAGUACGAAAGGACCUUAGUUUAUGAUAAAAU
This 536-nucleotide ribosomal RNA is filed under the name Pholcus bimbache. RNAcentral describes it as "partial 16S ribosomal RNA". It matches the Rfam family "Bacterial large subunit ribosomal RNA", at positions 1806 to 2710 of the family's 2925-position model. Lineage: Eukaryota; Metazoa; Arthropoda; Arachnida; Araneae; Pholcidae. The record is from RNAcentral.